CGGCCGCGAUUCGCCCUUCGGGGUGCAGCAGGCGCGAAAACUUUGCAAUGCGGGAAACCGUGACAAGGGAACUCUGAGUGCCCGUAAAAUCGGGCUGUCCAUCGGUUUAAAUAACCGGUGAAGAAAGGGCCGGGCAAGACCGGUGCCAGCCGCCGCGGUAAUACCGGCGGCUCGAGUGGUGGCCACUAUUACUGGGCUUAAAGCGUUCGUAGCUGGUCUGUUAAGUCUCUGGGGAAAUCUUCCGGCUUAACCGGAAGGCGUCUCAGGGAUACUGGCAGACUAGGGACCGGGAGAGGUGAGAGGUACUCCAGGGGUAGGAGUGAAAUCCUGUAAUCCUUGGGGGACCACCUGUGGCGAAGGCGUCUCACCAGAACGGCUCCGACAGUGAGGGACGAAAGCUGGGGGAGCAAACCGGAUUAGAUACCCGGGUAGUCCCAGCUGUAAACGAUGCGCGUUAGGUGUAUCGGUGACCACGAGUCACCGAGGUGCCGAAGAGAAAUCGUGAAACGUGCCGCCUGGGAAGUACGGUCGCAAGGCUGAAACUUAAAGGAAUUGGCGGGGGAGCAC
Molecule: ribosomal RNA, 567 nt
Filed under: uncultured archaeon
Lineage: Archaea
Description: bacterial SSU rRNA
Rfam family: Archaeal small subunit ribosomal RNA
Source: RNAcentral